This 60-nucleotide transfer RNA is filed under the name Ornithodoros furcosus. RNAcentral's name for it is "tRNA-Leu". The record is from RNAcentral. Lineage: Eukaryota; Metazoa; Arthropoda; Arachnida; Ixodida; Argasidae.
AUUAAAGUGGCAGAUUUAAUGCGAGGAAUUUAAGCUUCCUAAAUGAAUUUUCCUUUAGUA